RNAcentral lists this ribosomal RNA (468 nucleotides) under uncultured bacterium. RNAcentral's name for it is "partial 16S ribosomal RNA". It matches the Rfam family "Bacterial small subunit ribosomal RNA", at positions 28 to 507 of the family's 1533-position model. The record is from RNAcentral.
GACGAACGCUGGCGGCGUGCUUAACACAUGCAAGUCGAACGGAAAGGCCCUGCUUUUGUGAGGUUCUCGAGUGCCGAGCGGGUGAGUAACACGUGAGUAACCUGCCCUUAUCUUUGUGAUAACUUCACGAAACUGCGGCUAAUACCGGAUAUGAGCUCCUGCUGCAUGUUGGUGGUUGGAAAGUUUCGGCGGUUGUGGCUGGACUCGCUGCUUCUGAGCUUCUUUGUGUGGUAGUUGCUUACGAAGGCUUUGACGGGUAGCCGGCCUGAGAGGGGGAACGGCGACAUGGGGACUGAGAGACGGACCAGAAGGGUACGGGAGGCAGUAGGGGGGAGUAUUGCACAAUGGGGGGAAGCCUGAGGCAGCAAUGUCGGGAGCGGGAUAACGGGUUUCGGGGUGUAAACAGAUGUGGCCGGUGACGAAGAGUGAGUGACGGUAAUGGGUAAAGAAGCAACGGCUAACUACGUG